Anthonomus grandis grandis is the source of this 5314-nucleotide RNA transcript. It is a transcript of the gene named histone-lysine N-methyltransferase 2B-like, with no coding region annotated. NCBI's taxonomy places the organism in Eukaryota, Metazoa, Arthropoda, Insecta, Coleoptera, Curculionidae. The record is from RefSeq and is a predicted model, not a curated record. The transcript is spliced from 15 exons.
CCACUCGCUAAUCACAACGUUAAUUUUGUGAGGUGCAAAAAAAUAGAAAACCCUUUUUUUUCUCACUUUUUAACUACUUAAGACUGUGUCGUUUCACUAAAACCUGAUCUAAGCAAUUAAUUGUCGCAUUAAAGGCGAAACCCUCUGAGAGAAACCUUAACGUGCAGCCAAGAAGUUUGUUUGCAAACACCACCACAGUGUGGAAAAAAACCUCUUUUUGCAUCAGUUGAUGCCUGAGGUAACAAACCGCAUUUAAUUAACUAAUACUAAACAAAAGUGGUUGGCAGCUAAAAACUCGCAAUGUAAACCAACCAUACCCGGUUAAUUGCCAGUGAAGGCAUCCAUGAUGUCUGCCACCGCAGAGGGUGAGUUUUCAGCCCUACAGUUUGAAAAAUCCCUACUGAACCUGAAAGACUCUCAAGAUAGUAUCAAUCAGUGUUGCCAGUGGUGCCUCAAGAACAGGCAGCACUAUAAAAAAAUUGUGAAUUCUUGGCUGAAUGUGCUGAAACGAGUGAAAAUCGAACAGAGGUUAACUCUGUUUUAUUUGGCCAACGAUGUGGUGCAGUACUCGAAAAGGAGAAAUUAUGAAUAUGUGGACACAUGGGGCACUGCUAUACAAAAAGCUACCACAAUGGUCAGGGACGAGAAGGUAAAACACAAAAUAUUGAGGAUAUUUAAAAUAUGGGAACAAAGGGGCGUUUACGGUGAAGAAUUCAUCUCGGACCUGUGCGGGCUCAUCAGCAUUCAACCCACCGGACCCAAGAAUGAUGAACCUCACGAAUUUCAGGCAAAUUAUGUUAUCAACAAAAUCAAGCACUGCGCCAACUUGGAAAAGGACACCGAUAAUAAACUGAAAGUCCUCAAAGAACACAACCCGAAAAUUCAAAUUAGCGAGGGCCUAAUAAACACCCUUAAAGAUAGGGCCCAUGUGGACGAUGUGGAAAAAGAAAUGGACGUCUAUGUAGCCCAUAUGGAGAGUUAUGUGAACGCUUUAAAGUUGGAAAUCAAAAACCGGAUAGCGCUGAUUUCUACCCUUAGGCAAGCGGAAAGUCAUUUGGAGUCCGAUAGGAAAGACGUGAAAAUGGUGGCACAUGCUUAUAGAACCUUCGGACAAAAAGUGAAAAUCUUCGAGAAAAAACUGGAAGAGCACAUGGUCAAUUUGCCGUCUCCGUUGCCUUCGCCGGACAUCAACGCCCCCUCUCCCAGUCCCGAGGAGGACAUUGAGUUGCCCGAGGACGACGUGGUCUCAAAACCGUUUUCCAGUUCUUACCUGGACUUAUCGGCCAUCCAGUAUAGUAAUCCAGGGUUUUAUGUGCCUCCCCCGGUGAAUAACAGUCAGCAAACCAACUCUAGCACCAGUUAUAACCCGAAUUACAGCGUCACCUACAGUAGCAGCCUUAAUAGUACGACUGUUAAUAAUAGCGCCGGAGAUUCUAGCGGGGGUUUCCUUAGCAAUGGAUUCACGAGUUUCUUGGGUCAAAAUUUGUCCUUUGAUAUAUCCAACAUAAGUACUACGGGGCUUUUCGACACCACCACGACCACCACGGAUAACACCCAAACUACCAACAGUUACGUGACGACGCCCAAUGCGGUUGUGGGGGCGGCGGCGCCGCCCACGCCGGUCGCCCCCCCGAUCAUCGUCGAUCUGACCGAAAGCGACAACACGCCGCCGUAUAAUCCGUUAUUGCCGCCCCCCAUGCCGCCCUUUUCCAAAAACAACGAGUCCGGUUUCAGUUUUAAUACCACUCUGGACAUGAACGCGACUACUGGGAGUUACGAUCCGGCGUUUCAAGGUAGUUACGCAGACGGAACGUACGGUAACGAGACGUUGAACAACGGCACGUUAAAUAACGGCGGCGGUGCCGGGGGCGGCGGCGAGUACGAUUAUCAGCUGCAAACCGGGAUGAAUCCGUUUCCGCCCACGCCGGAGGGCGGCGCGUUGGGGGCGACUGAGUCGUACGAUCCCGCCUGCGUGACGGAGACGUGGGGCGACCUGGACGUGACGGUGGACUGGAAGGGCGGCGACGACGGCUUGUUGGACACCCCCGAGAGUCCGCCCAAUUUUGAGAAAGAGGGUUAUGGCGAUCCGGUGGAGUACCACGAUUCGUCGAUGAGGAGUGGAGGCGGCGUUGCCGAUAUAGACCAAAGAAUCUUGCCCGGAAUGGGAGAUUUGGAAGAUCUCUCCUUGGCGAGCCUGAGGGGCCAAGACGUGGAUCACCGGAACCUCAUCAGCCUGACGGGGUCCCCGAGUAACGUGGACGCCCUUUUGACGCCCCCUAAUGAAAAACCGGCCGCUCUACCGGCCAGGGGUAACUUGACCCGGAUCACUCCUCAGGAGUCCUUGUGGGACAAUUUAGACCAAGACUAUCGGCAAGCGGCGCCGCCAAUAGUGCCGCCCAAAGAACCGUCACCGCCGCCGCCCCUGCCGGCCGUCGACCAAGACUACCGUCUACAGUUCGCGGGGUUGGAGGCGCCGCCUCCGCCCCCACCGCCGCCGCCUCUCCCGGGCGUCAAGUCGCCGACGAAACGGCGACCGCCGCCCCCGCCGCCUUUGCCCGCCCCCGGGGCGCCCGGCGAUCCGCGCCUGCGUUGCGGCGACCCCUCCAAGAGGAGCGACGAUGACGUCGACGACGUCGACAUGGACAUUAGCGAGGACGUCGAGCAAAUCGGAAACGAUUUAGAUGGCAGCGUGUACAGUUUGGAACCGCCGCCCCCACUUCCUGACCUCCUGGACGACGUCGACGCCAACCAAUUCCUCGACGAAAUAUCGCACGACUUGAACGAGUUUAGUAAUUUGUCGGAGGAAGCGGAGGGGCCGAACGAACCCGAGGCGGACAAUCGGAAACGAUCGGGGCAGUUUAUGGGGCCGCCGCCGCCGCCGCCCCCCGUGACCUUCGGAAUGGCCGGGUUUCCGCCCCCGCCGCCCCGGAUGGCCUCUCAGGGAUAUAUGUCGAUGAAUCAGCCACCCGGACCGCCGCCCCGCAUCGGCCAUCAACCCCACGCGCCGCCCCCGAUACCACCGCCCGCGGGCGGGCCGCCCCAUUGGGACAACCGAGGCGGUCCGCCGCCCCACUGGACGGGCGGCCGCCCCCCCGCCUUUAAUAACGACGACGACAAUCCGUACUUGCACGACGACUUCGGCGGGCCGCCCCACAAUUUCGGCCCGCCCAAUAAUAGUUUCCGAGGGGGCGGGGGCGGUUUCAAUCAUAAUCAUAAUAAAAUGAAUAAUAAUGGGAUUAAUAUGCGAGGUGGGUUUAGGGGGGGCGGUAGUUGGGGUAGAGGUCCAUGGAAGGAUCGCGGCCGUGGAGGACGUGGAGGAGGCAGACGCGGAAUGGGAGGCGGUGCAGGUGGACCGCCGCCCCCACCGUUUAGAGGCAGAGGAGGUUUUUAUCGUGGGAGAGGCAGGUGAUGAUAUACGAACCCUCCGGCGGGCCGGCUAUGUAAAUUCAAGGCUGUUUAAUGUGAACAUUGUGCGACGGAGAGAAACCAUGGCCAACGGACCUUCGGCUGACGUCACGCAGCCUGUUGACUAUGGUAUGACCAAUUUUAGAUAUGACAGGAAGCAGACUCACGGGCCUCAGAUCUGUAGAACCGACAAGAUCAAAUUUUUUAGGCAACGAAGUGACGAGAGAUUCUUUCCAGAGUUGAAGGAAAUGCCCAUCCAAGGUGUUAUUAUUAUGUUAUUUUAGUAUCAAACUGGUUUGAUUUUUUAAAUACAUUGCAAAAAGACUUAUUUAUCUCUCUAACAUUUAACAACUAGGGAGGGAUUAAACUCAUUGUACUUUUACGAAGAUAGACAAUAGGAUCGCUUAACUUUUACCAAACUUUACGUUAAUGUUUUCGCCACCAAAUAUUGUAAAUAAGCCAACUUUUCUCUACGUAGGUAUAGCGGCUUUAGUAAUAUUUCGAGGGAUUAUAUAGUUUUCAAAAUUUUCUGAAAUUUACAUCUAAGUUUAACCUUGUGUCUUUCCCCCAUUAUGCAUAAGUCCACCAUAAUGCAUACGGCUUUGGCACUCUAAUGGACCUCAAAGGAGCAUGUAUAUGAAAUAAAUACUUGAAAUUGUGAAUCAAAUAUUUCACUUUACGAUCUUUAUCGUAAAAGUAGUAAAGAUCAGUCCACUCUACCUCUUACUGAAGAUCAAGUAAAAAGUAUGCCCUGUAAAAAUCUUUAAAACCCUUGAAAAAAAACGCUACCCUUAUAAUUAAAUAAUUUGUGAGUGCUUAAUCAAUAAUAUUGCUGAAUAUUUUACCAACAUUACUAAAAACACUGCUCGGAAUCUAUUUUAUUCAAAUUAUUACAGCCAAAUCGAGAAACCCAUUUUCUUCACCUGCAAAAUCACGGGAUAACUGCAUAAACUAUUGAAAGGAACAAAUUUAGCUGAUCAUUGUCAACAACACUAGAGCAUUUAACUUGUUUAUCUCCAAUGAAGAUCGAUGAUAAUUUUAAACAUGUGUCAAGGCAGAAAAUGAUCUUUCAACACUACAGUUUGAAACAAACAUUCUCAAUGCAAUGAAAAAAAUAUAAGUAUAACUUUCAAGUUAAACUUUCGCCAUAUCUGAUAUAUAUUCAUCAAUAAAGACAUUUAUUAUCAUAUACUUUUUCCAUACUUAUAUUGUCCCAGGCCAUGACCUUUAUGCAUUCAAAUAAUACAUCUUAAACCAAAUAUAUAUUAUACACAAUGGAGCAUAGCUCUGUGUGUGUAUAAGGGUAUCUAAUUACUUUAAUAUAUAUUCUAUUUUUUAUAAUAUAAUAAAUUUUAAUAAUUUAUAUACUACAUCACUUGCAUUUGGCACUACUGCCAUGUUGAGGGUCCAUGAUUUAUCAAGUUUAGAUGUAUUUUUGUUUUUAAGAUAAACCUUACUAUAGACUUAAUAUAAAUCUGGUUUACUGUCGACACUUCUGCAUCUUUAAAUAAUUGAAUUCAAGAGUACAUCUUAUUUUUAUUAUGAAUGAUCUAUAGUAAGUAUUUUUAAGUAAUAAUUAAUGGCUCUAGCCCCUAGACAAGAUGCAAUAGUGCAGUAUAGAUAUAAGUAGUUUAAUACACUAAUUUUUAGAGUUUUUAACUUCAUAAACUUGUGCAACUGAUAAAAUUUGUAAAUUAAUUGUUAAAAAAAAAAAAAAAUAUACUGCGAGUUGCUACCUCAACAGUAUCAUCGAUUGCCGAUAGUUCGCAAGUAAGGUGGAAUGCAACGUUUAGCAAUUUAAGUAUGUUAAGUAUAUUUUUAAUAAUUAUGUUCUGCUUAUGAAUGUAUAAUAGCACACUGUAUGUAUGUAUUAUAGCACAUGUUGCUAAAUAAAUAUAUAUUAUUAUUA